GACGAACGCUGGCGGCGUGCUUAACACAUGCAAGUCGAACGGAAAGGCCCCCUUGUGGGGUACUCGAGUGGCGAACGGGUGAGUAACACGUGAGUAACCUACCCUUGACUUUGGGAUAACUUCAGGAAACUGGGGCUAAUACCGGAUAGGAGCUCCUGCUGCAUGGUGGGGGUUGGAAAGUUUCGGCGGUUGGGGAUGGACUCGCGGCUUAUCAGCUUGUUGGUGGGGUAGUGGCUCACCAAGGCUUUGACGGGUAGCCGGCCUGAGAGGGUGACCGGCCACAUUGGGACUGAGAUACGGCCCAGACUCCUACGGGAGGCAGCAGGGGGGAAUAUUGCACAAUGGGCGGAAGCCUGAUGCAGCAACGCCGCGUGCGGGAGGACGGCCUUCGGGUUGUAAACCGCUUUCGCCUGUGACGAAGCGUGAGUGACGGUAAUGGGUAAAGAAGCACCGGCUAACUACGUG
RNAcentral lists this ribosomal RNA (465 nucleotides) under uncultured bacterium. RNAcentral describes it as "partial 16S ribosomal RNA". It matches the Rfam family "Bacterial small subunit ribosomal RNA", at positions 28 to 507 of the family's 1533-position model. The record is from RNAcentral.